Molecule: ribosomal RNA, 335 nt
Filed under: uncultured bacterium
Lineage: Bacteria
Description: bacterial SSU rRNA
Rfam family: Bacterial small subunit ribosomal RNA
Source: RNAcentral
UGUUGGAAAGAUUUAUCGGUCAUGGAUGGACUCGCGGCCUAUCAGCUUGUUGGUGAGGUAAUGGCUCACCAAGGCGACGACGGGUAGCCGGCCUGAGAGGGUGACCGGCCACACUGGGACUGAGACACGGCCCAGACUCCUACGGGAGGCAGCAGUGGGGAAUAUUGCACAAUGGGCGAAAGCCUGAUGCAGCGACGCCGCGUGAGGGAUGACGGCCUUCGGGUUGUAAACCUCUUUCAGUAGGGAAGAAGCGAAAGUGACGGUACCUGCAGAAGAAGCACCGGCUAACUACGUGCCAGCAGCCGCGGUAAUACGUAGGGUGCGAGCGUUAUCCG